GGCUAGUUAUAGUAGUCUGCAGUCGCACGAGUUCUCGUUGAUGAUCGGUAGCUUGCACCGAGAUUCAACAUGGAACGAGUGGCGGACGGGUGAGUAACACGUGGGUAACCUGCCCUUAAGUGGGGGAUAACAUUUGGAAACAGAUGCUAAUACCGCAUAGAUCCAAGAACCGCAUGGGUCUUGGCGGUAAAAAUACCGCCGUAACCCAUCCGCUUUUGGAUGGACCCCCCGCGUAUUAAGCUAGUUGGUGAGGCAACGGCUCACCAAGGCCGAUGAUACGUAGCCGAACUGAGAGGUUGAUCGGCCACAUUGGGACUGAGACACGGCCCAAACUCCUACGGGAGGCAGCAGUAGGGAAUCUUCCACAAUGGACGCAAGUCUGAUGGAGCAACGCCGCGUGAGUGAAGAAGGCUUUCGGGUCGUAAAACUCUGUUGUUGGAGAAGAAUGGUCGGCACACUAACUGUAGACCGCGUGACAGUAGCCAACCAGAAAUGCCACAGCUAAUUACGUGCCAGCAGCCGCGGUAAUACGUAGGUGGCAAGCGUUAUCCGGAUUUAUUGGGCGUAAAGCGAGCGCAGGCGGUUUUUUAAGUCUGAUGUGAAAGCCCUCGGCUUAACCGAGGAAGCGCAUCGGAAACUGGGAAACUUGAGUGCAGAAGAGGACAGUGGAACUCCAUGUGUAGCGGUGAAAUGCGUAGAUAUAUGGAAGAACACCAGUGGCGAAGGCGGCUGUCUGGUCUGUAACUGACGCUGAGGCUCGAAAGCAUGGGUAGCGAACAGGAUUAGAUACCCUGGUAGUCCAUGCCGUAAACGAUGAAUGCUAGGUGUUGGAGGGUUUCCGCCCUUCAGUGCCGCAGCUAACGCAUUAAGCAUUCCGCCUGGGGAGUACGACCGCAAGGUUGAAACUCAAAGGAAUUGACGGGGGCCCGCACAAGCGGUGGAGCAUGUGGUUUAAUUCGAAGCAACGCGAAGAACCUUACCAGGUCUUGACAUCUUUUGAUCACCUGAGAGAUCAGGUUUCCCCUUCGGGGGCAAAAUGACAGGUGGUGCAUGGUUGUCGUCAGCUCGUGUCGUGAGAUGUUGGGUUAAGUCCCGCAACGAGCGCAACCCUUAUGACUAGUUGCCAGCAUUUAGUUGGGCACUCUAGUAAGACUGCCGGUGACAAACCGGAGGAAGGUGGGGAUGACGUCAAAUCAUCAUGCCCCUUAUGACCUGGGCUACACACGUGCUACAAUGGAUGGUACAACGAGUUGCGA
This 1256-nucleotide ribosomal RNA is filed under the name Lacticaseibacillus paracasei. RNAcentral's name for it is "bacterial SSU rRNA". It matches the Rfam family "Bacterial small subunit ribosomal RNA", at positions 65 to 1252 of the family's 1533-position model. Lineage: Bacteria; Bacillati; Bacillota; Bacilli; Lactobacillales; Lactobacillaceae. The record is from RNAcentral.